This is a long non-coding RNA of Aedes aegypti (yellow fever mosquito), 1255 nucleotides long. RefSeq lists it as uncharacterized. The record is from RefSeq and is a predicted model, not a curated record. NCBI's taxonomy places the organism in Eukaryota, Metazoa, Arthropoda, Insecta, Diptera, Culicidae. The transcript is spliced from 3 exons.
GUGUCGAAUUUCGUGUCCUAGGUUCAGUUGGUGUCGCACUGGAUGUCCGAAAGGUUCAAACGUUGUGUUCGCUGCCGUUCGGGACGUGGAUCUCUCGUGACGUUUGUUUCGGUUGUUGGCGCGAAUUGUUCCCUACCUAUUGAAGCUUAUAGGUAAUGGUGCUCGGGCCGGUAUCUCAAGUGUUGGCAUUGCGUGUGGUUGUGGAUGAUCUAGUGGGAUAUAGCCAAGCCCUAGUUUGGUCGGAUUUUGGAAUUACCCCUUCGAGUGAUAGCUUUGGACAACGCACGUGACUUGUCGGGGCUAUUUUUACACAUUCACUACCACGGCCACUAAUGAUGAUUACUCUUGCAUGACAAUGGAACCGUACGUCACCACCAGCACCUAGAGUCUCGAUUUCCUUCGGCAUUUGGCGUCGUUUGUUUCGACCCAAGUGAAGAUAACCACCCAGGAUACUUGUCCACCGUAGAAGUGGUAGUGCCUACGGGAGGACACGCUUGCAAGGGGCAAAGAAUCAGCAGCAGCAGCACAAAAAAAGCCUACUACAUCUCAUACUGAAUGGGAAUUGCUUUUGCCACCGCCGCCGUCUAGUACUAACUGCAUAGAGUGCUCUUCAGAAUCUUUCUGGAUCAAGUGUCGUUCCCCUUUACUCAACAUCAAGUCAUGUAGAUGAAGAAAAAACCUGCAUCUGGCGAGUCCUCUUGCGUCACUGGAAUAAAUAACAUCUCCUAGACCCAGUCGAGGAAGACGAAGAAAAAGAAGAAGAAAGUGCAAGUGCUGACCUCGGAACGGCAUUUCCAUUAUCCCGAAUGAAGUAACGGCGAAAGUGCAAUGCAGGUCUCGGGAAAAUUGCUUGGAUUCGUUUCAGAACUGGCGGUGUGAAAAAUUGAACCGUGACAGCUCCGGCUGUGUGUGUGAAUGUUUUUUCUUCCGCCCGCGGGAGGUGUUUGUUUAUUGUUCGAAAACUGUGUGGAUUAACUGUUAUUUCGGCUGCUAAUGAAAACAACGAUAAAUCGGGAAUCCAGCCGAGCGGGAGAGAGUGCAAAUCUUCGAGUGGUCCAUCCAAGCCAUCCAGAAGGGGGCGCUGAAAGAGCAGAUAUCGGUCGUUGCCCACCAGAAGUACCAGAAAAGGCGUAGUGUCGUGAAUUUUGAGCUCGAGAAAAAGCUCACUAAUUGAGCACAUCGCUUUCACCCACCAUCCACUAGCUAACCUUUUCAUCGCUAGGAAUCCUUGAAGUGUUGGUGCAAGGGCAAUAAU